GUAGUUGAAAGCUCUUCAAUUGGUACUUCUGUAGAGGUCGGCGAAGAUGAACCCUUUAUGUUGCUAUUUGAUGUUCAUCAGAUGGACUUCGAUAAACCGUAUUUUGGGCCUUUAUUGAUCUUAUUACAAAUCCUUUUGUCCUGAACCGAUGCCAUUUAUAGUUUCCUAUUAAACCUCCUGUUUAAUAAAAAACUAGGGGGCAAUGUUGGGUCGUGAUAUUUCUCCUAGUGGGCCGAAUGGAUUGGGCCUACUUGUUCAGUUAGUCCAUUGGAUCUUCACUAUUGGGUGUUGACAUUAUUGGGCCUAGUCAUUUUAUUAUCUUUGUUAAGUCCUUCUAAUAUCAAACCAAAUCAGUGGGUCGACCCAUCAGAUAUUUAAAUAUCUACAUCUUUGACCAGUGAUGAUGACAAAGAUAUGACUAACUGAUAUCUU
RNAcentral lists this long non-coding RNA (432 nucleotides) under Panax ginseng (ginseng). RNAcentral describes it as "long non-coding RNA (PGIN_LNC006065)". The record is from RNAcentral. Lineage: Eukaryota; Viridiplantae; Streptophyta; Magnoliopsida; Apiales; Araliaceae.